AAAUUCUCAAGCACAAUUGAUAAUGCUGCAAAACUACACAUUUGUGUUUCUUUCAGCUGAAGUUAAUAUAAAUGUCUGCUGAGUUAUUUUAUUCUUUUGGUUGAAUAUAGUACUGACGAGAAUGGAACUAUAUGAAAGUAUCAUAGGUAUCAUUGAUGAGAAAAUAAAAAAAACGGUGAAGAGCAUCAGGACAUGAACUGCUCGCGAUCGUUGUGCGCCUGCGAAGAUCCCCUCCUCGAUCAGCUUUGGCCAUCAUGGUCAAUUCAGAUGACGACAAAUAAGAAAAGAAACUAAAAAACGAAAACAGGCAGAUCUAACUAUUUUUGCUGCUUUCUCUCGGAUGUCAUCCUGCAUGGAAGAUAUGUAAUCUGCAGAAGAAUCGACACGACAUCAGAUUUAUAUCGCCCAUCUGCUUGUACUCUCUUCACAGAUAAAGAGCCAACAGUUAAGCCUCGCACAACACAAGAGAAGAGGAAGUCUAUUGGAAAUAGAAUGAAAAAGCAACAGAAAAGAGCACGAAUAGAGGGUGCCACCCCAAACCUAGGAGACUAUACCUCGUGAUAGGCGUAGCAGUGUCGAUGCAGAUCUCGCAGAUCUGGUCCAACCUACCGCGUGCAUGGCGAACAUGGCUUGGUCCGGCUAGGAUUCAACUCCGGCAGGGGUGGAGGAGACGGGUCUACAACUCCGAGGUGAGAUGUAUGGGGGUAGCGGUGUGGCGGCAUCAGCGAAGAAGGACAUCAAGGUAAGAGGCCAG
This 754-nucleotide long non-coding RNA is filed under the name Zea mays. RNAcentral describes it as "long non-coding RNA (ZMAY_LNC004835)". The record is from RNAcentral. Lineage: Eukaryota; Viridiplantae; Streptophyta; Magnoliopsida; Poales; Poaceae.